Molecule: ribosomal RNA, 745 nt
Filed under: uncultured bacterium
Lineage: Bacteria
Description: bacterial SSU rRNA
Rfam family: Bacterial small subunit ribosomal RNA
Source: RNAcentral
ACGCUGGCGGCAGGCCUAACACAUGCAAGUCGAGCGGUAGAGAGAAGCUUGCUUCUCUUGAGAGCGGCGGACGGGUGAGUAAUGCCUAGGAAUCUGCCUGGUAGUGGGGGAUAACGUUCGGAAACGGACGCUAAUACCGCAUACGUCCUACGGGAGAAAGCAGGGGACCUUCGGGCCUUGCGCUAUCAGAUGAGCCUAGGUCGGAUUAGCUAGUUGGUGGGGUAAUGGCUCACCAAGGCGACGAUCCGUAACUGGUCUGAGAGGAUGAUCAGUCACACUGGAACUGAGACACGGUCCAGACUCCUACGGGAGGCAGCAGUGGGGAAUAUUGGACAAUGGGCGAAAGCCUGAUCCAGCCAUGCCGCGUGUGUGAAGAAGGUCUUCGGGUUGUAAAGCACUUUAAGUUGGGAGGAAGGGCAGUAAAUUAAUACUUUGCUGUUUUGACGUUACCGACAGAAUAAGCACCGGCUAACUCUGUGCCAGCAGCCGCGGUAAUACAGAGGGUGCAAGCGUUAAUCGGAGUUACUGGGCGUAAAGCGCGCGUAGGUGGUUCGUUAAGUUGGAUGUGAAAUCCCCGGGCUCAACCUGGGAACUGCAUUCAAAACUGACGAGCUAGAGUAUGGUAGAGGGUGGUGGAAUUUCCUGUGUAGCGGUGAAAUGCGUAGAUAUAGGAAGGAACACCAGUGGCGAAGGCGACCACCUGGACUGAUACUGACACUGAGGUGCGAAAGCGUGGGGAGCAAAC